Molecule: long non-coding RNA, 3882 nt
Filed under: Ailuropoda melanoleuca (giant panda)
Lineage: Eukaryota; Metazoa; Chordata; Mammalia; Carnivora; Ursidae
Description: lncRNA (ENSAMEG00000025323.1)
Source: RNAcentral
ACAAGAAAACGGCAAGAGCACAGCAAGGAGCGUCUUCCUACUCAGCCACACCUACCCGCCGCUCAGAUGUGCCCCGGGUGCGGGCUCUCGCCUCUUCUGUCUGUCUGCACACAGUGUUUCCCGAGCUGCUUGAGAGCAAGGGGCAGACAUGAUCACCUCUACCCACGACCAAGGACACUCUGCUGGAAGCGCACUCACGGAGCCCAAGUCAGGAAAGGGAAGUUUGACGCGGUCCUGCCCACACUCCUUCCCCUCAUUCACACAUGUAAUCACUUGUUGACUUCUACCAGUGCGAGCUCCCUGGUUCCCUCUUUACCUGAUGGAUGAAAACCUGUUACUGCUAUUCUUCUCAUGCUCAGAUUGUCCCCGUAUGGCCAGAGAGCCCCUCUGACGGCCUCUGUGUCCUCCUGCCACAUCCUGACCAUUUUGGAGUGCGUCUUACUUCUUCAUGCUCUUGAUUUCCAGGCUCAUCCUGCACUUUCCCUGCCUGGGCCGUGUUGUCUCCAUAGAGCUCUAGUUCCUUCCAGAGAGACUGACGUCUGGCAACCAGGAGCUGAGUGCCAGGAGAGUGCUCAGUGCUAUGCGGUAUUGUAGCUUCCAUUUCCCUGAGUGGACAGAGCCGGGAAAUGCGUCCGUGCGCGCGCACGAGAGCACACACACACACACACACAGGUGCAGCGUCCGUGCGUGCACACACACACACACACAGGUGCAGCGUCCAUGCGUGCACUCACACAGGUGCAGCGUCCGUGCGUGCACACACACACACACAGGUGCAGCGUCCAUGCGUGCACUCACACAGGUGCAGCGUCCGUGCGUGCACACACACACACACAGGUGCAUUGUCCAUGCGUGCGCACACACACACACACACAGGUGCAGCAUCCGUGCACACCCACACACACAGGUGCAGCGUCCGUGCAUGCACACACACACAGGUGCAGCGUCCGUGCGCACACACACACACAGGUGCAGCGUCCGUGCGCACACACACACACAGGUGCAGCGUCUGUGCGUGCACACACACACACAGGUGCAGCGUCCAUGUGCACACACACACACAGGUGCAGCGUCCGUGCGCACACACACAGGUGCAGCGUCCAUGUGCACUCACACACACACAGGUGCAGCGUCCGUGCGUGCACACAUACACACAGGUGCAGCGUCCGUGCAUGCACAAACACACACACAGGUGCAGCGUCCAUGCAUGCGCGCACACACACACACAGGUGCAGCGUCCGUGCGUGCACACACACACACACACAGGUGCAGCGUCCGUGCACACACACAUACACACACAGGUGCAGCGUCCGUGCGCGCACACACACACAUUUAUAUGUGCUGAGUUCAUCCUGAUGCGGCUUGUAGGACACAGGUCCACAGGCAGGAGGAGCACACCAGGCAAGAAAACAACCAAGGUGGGGUCAGGGGUGAGCACAGGGGACAGAGUUGGGGGAGGGGAGUGGGGGGCCCUUGUCAAGAUCUGUAUGUCUGGGGAAGAGCCCCUGGCCACAACAACAGCAAGCACCACCACUGAGUGUGGCCUGCUCUGUGUGGCUGGAGCAGAGGGGGCUGGAGGGCAGCCUCGAGGCCAGUGGCAGUUAAGGGCUGAUCGGAGAGGCAGGAUCUCAUUCACGUUGGGCAGCGCUCCUAUGGACAGGCUCGAGGGGCAGGGCCAGGAGACAAGGCCUGCGAGGGGACACCUACAUGCAUCCUAAUGAGUGGGGACGGUGGCCAGACCCAGGGCUGUGACCGUGCAGAUGCUGGGAAGUGGGAUGUGUUUCCGAGGCUCUGACAAUGAGGCAACAAGGGAAAGGAGGGAAGCAUCAAAAGCCGACAGUGUGUCCAGGGAGGAAGCAGGACUUCUCUUUUAGGGUGCCACUACGUUUGAGAUGGAAGGGUAAGGAGACAGCUGGACAGAGUGGUCUAAAGGCCCUGGAAUCUGCAUUCUGAGCCUCAGUUUCCCCACCUGCCCUCUGAUCGGCCAGGCGCAGGCACCCAGUGGGCACGGGAGGCACUGGCCAGAUCAUGUGCUGUGGAAUAAACACCUUCCCUUCUCUCACUUAGCUUUGAUUAUAACCUGCCUCCCACCAUGCCCCGCUCCUCCAUGACCGCAGCGCCUUCACUGUCCUGUCUGGCCACUGUCUGGGCACUGCUCCCUCAGGAAUUCCACUGUCUUUCUCCCUGAAGAAAAAGAAGGCACAGCGUGCCCACUGUGUCCACACGGGCAAGUGUUUUUCCGAUACUUUCUUUAUUUCAGGAAAAAAGUUUUUAUGGGGACAUAUGUUUUGUUAGCGGCUAUAAUGUUCGUUUCUGAUGAAACGAUUUGUUUUCCUAGUAGAUCUUUCCACGUUAGAGCCAUUUCUCCAAGGGGUUUUGGCAAGGGUAGAUCUUUUUGGUGAGGAUAUGAAGAGGGUCAACCAUUUUAAUAAUAUUUUCACCUGCAACUUUGAUGGGAAGGCUGAGCCUGGCCCAGAAGCUUACGGAACAUUUUAAUGGUGUUCUGUGAAAAUGGAGCCAAGCUGAGCUGUCCCAUUUCUAAGAUGCAAGGACCCCCUCUGGUCCCUGCAGACCCUGAGCACGGCUCUGCGCGGUCCACCAUGUACUCCUGGAGGUCAGUCCCGGCCAGGGGGUGGGGGGGAUCUCUCAUCAGGGUGGCAUCUACAGAGAGGACUCUUGCCCCUCCCACCACUGCCACUACCCCAUGCUGUUGCUGAGGCGCAGAAGCCGUCCCACACAGGCACGGGGAGAGGCAGCUGCCAGGCUGUGCUGCCGCAGCCACCGGCGGAGGGAGCACAUGAUGUUGGCGGAGGCCACUCAGACAGAGCUGGGUAAGGAUGUCCAUGGUGCAAAAGAUGUGAGUGGUGGUGGAGGUGGCCUUGAAGGUGGUGGGGAGGAGAGAGCUGAUGGAGCAGGUGGCCACGUGGAUGGGGGCGUGCAGGGGGUGGUGCUCAUGUGGGCUGACGACAGUGGUGGUAGAUGGUGUUGAAAGUGACCGAGGUCGUAGUUGGGGUGACGGCGUUAGAGGUAAGGGGAGGUACCAUCAGGCUGGCCCAACACUUUUCUAGCCUCGGUUCAGGGGACGGUGGGUGCCAGUGCCAGGGGCCCUCCCACAGUAAAGGUGCAGUGCAGUGCUGAGACGUAAGGUUUCAUGCCUUCUGUGGCCCCGUGCCCCCCACUGGGAGCAGCAGACGCAGAACCAGCCCUCAGGCCUUGUUCUUCAGCCCGAGCAGUUUCUGCUGUCCUGAGUCCCUGGCCCCAGAGCUCCUCCUGGGAGUCCUGUCUGGGACAUGGGCCUGAGUGACCAGCUCCGAGGAAAGGAGAAAGGGAGACAAUGGCCAGAGGGGACACUACCCCCAGCCACCACACCCAGGAGGUGGUCUGCAGAGAAGCAGGCCCUGCCCUGACUGCCUGGGCAGGGGUCCCAGCCCCCUGGCAGGGGGCCUCAGGUGUCAACUGGGGGCGGGGCCUCAGUGGCCAGAGAGAGGAUGAGCCCUUAGCAGGCCCAGGGAGGAACUGAAAGGGUCAGGUGCCCCACUCGGGAAACGGAGGACCCGGGAAGCACGUGGCUGCUGCCACAUUGCUGUUUCUGACCAGGACUCCCGCCACCGCGCUGGGGACCAGUCUCCGCGCACGCUGCCCAAGCUCCAGGCGGGUGAGGCCGGGCCGGGGCGCGCCGCGCUCCCCUCGCCCAGGUGGCCCCGCUGCAGCUCGAACCCCACCCCCGCCCGCCUUCUCCCGCGGGCCGCUGUCCGGCCUUGGCCGCCGGAGGGAGGAAGCGCUGUCCUCAUUCCACCUCUGGCCGCCGCGGUGCCAAGUUGCUGGCGGCGGCGGCGGCGGGAGUCGGGGCGGCGGGCAGCGGCGGGGCGCAGCGCCCUCCCC